UACGAAGGGGGCUAGCGUUGCUCGGAAUCACUGGGCGUAAAGGGUGCGUAGGCGGGUCUUUAAGUCAGAGGUGAAAUCCUGGAGCUCAACUCCAGAACUGCCUUUGAUACUGAGGAUCUUGAGUUCGGGAGAGGUGAGUGGAACUGCGAGUGUAGAGGUGAAAUUCGUAGAUAUUCGCAAGAACACCAGUGGCGAAGGCGGCUCACUGGCCCGAUACUGACGCUCAUGCACGAAAGCGUGGGGAGCAAACAGG
Molecule: ribosomal RNA, 253 nt
Filed under: uncultured bacterium
Lineage: Bacteria
Description: partial 16S ribosomal RNA
Rfam family: Bacterial small subunit ribosomal RNA
Source: RNAcentral